RNAcentral lists this ribosomal RNA (435 nucleotides) under uncultured bacterium. Its description in RNAcentral is "partial 16S ribosomal RNA". It matches the Rfam family "Bacterial small subunit ribosomal RNA", at positions 29 to 507 of the family's 1533-position model. The record is from RNAcentral.
AGCGAACGCUGGCGGCAGGCUUAACACAUGCAAGUCGAGCGGGCACUUUCGGGUGUCCGCGGCGGACGGGUGAGUAACGCGUGGGAACGUGCCCUCUGGUUCGGAAUAACUCAGGGAAACUUGAGCUAAUACCGGAUACGCCCCUUUGGGGAAAGGCUUGCUGCCGGAGGAUCGGCCCGCGUCUGAUUAGCUAGUUGGUGAGGUAACGGCUCACCAAGGCGACGAUCAGUAGCUGGUCUGAGAGGAUGAUCAGCCACACUGGGACUGAGACACGGCCCAGACUCCUACGGGAGGCAGCAGUGGGGAAUAUUGGACAAUGGGCACAAGCCUGAUCCAGCCAUGCCGCGUGAGUGAUGAAGGCCUUAGGGUUGUAAAGCUCUUUUAUCCGGGACGAUAAUGACGGUACCGGAGGAAUAAGCCCCGGCUAACUUCGUG